UGUCUAUUAAUUGUAGACUCGUAUGAAUGGCAAAAUGAGAGCCCGACUGUCUCUUAUAACAAAUCAAUUAAACUGAUCUCUCAGUACAAAAGCUGAGAUUCUCACAUAAGACCAGAAGACCCUGUGAAGCUUUAACUAAACUAUUAAACCCCUUAAUAACUAUUUUCGGUUGGGGCGACCUUGGAACAAAAAAGAACUUCCAAAUACAUGACCUUCUCACACCAAGGCAAACAAGCCACAUUUAGACCCAGAACUUUCUGAUAAAUGAACCAAGUUACUCCAGGGAUAACAGCGCUAUCUUCUUCAAGAGCCCAUAUCAAAAAGAAGGUUUACGACCUCGAUGUUGGAUCAGGACAUCCUAGCAAUGCAACCGUUACUAAGGGUUCGUUUGUUCAACGAUUAAUAGU
This 407-nucleotide ribosomal RNA is filed under the name Daboia russelii (Russell's viper). RNAcentral's name for it is "partial 16S ribosomal RNA". It matches the Rfam family "Bacterial large subunit ribosomal RNA", at positions 1970 to 2594 of the family's 2925-position model. The record is from RNAcentral. Lineage: Eukaryota; Metazoa; Chordata; Lepidosauria; Squamata; Viperidae.